This is a long non-coding RNA of Vigna unguiculata (cowpea), 275 nucleotides long. NCBI's taxonomy places the organism in Eukaryota, Viridiplantae, Streptophyta, Magnoliopsida, Fabales, Fabaceae. The record is from RefSeq and is a predicted model, not a curated record.
GGCCUAAGGGCAGACCCAAAGGGGAGGAUCAGACCUAAUAUGCCCCAAACCCUAAUUUUGUGCUCUUUUCGUAAAACAAAACCCUUGUGCCUCCUUGAGCAGCCACACUCUUUGUUAGGGUUUGCCUUCUCGCCGCUUCCAAGUCUGCUCAAGCUGUUCCUAUUCCACCUCCAAGAGUACUCCUCGUUCUGUUGAGUCUGUGUCUACCAUCGAGGUCCCGUAUUAAUCCUUUCCAGUGAGAAAUCUUGGUGGCGCCUCAUCUGUUGGACGUAAUU